Molecule: non-coding RNA, 90 nt
Organism: Hypoxylon sp. CI-4A
Lineage: Eukaryota; Fungi; Ascomycota; Sordariomycetes; Xylariales; Hypoxylaceae
Source: the annotation of a GenBank genome assembly
GGGCGCAUGGCCUAAUGGUAAGGCGUCAGAUUUCGGUUCACCAAAAUCUCCAUCCUCUGAAGAUUGCAGGUUCGAGCCCUGCUGUGCUCG